This 404-nucleotide unclassified non-coding RNA is filed under the name soil metagenome. RNAcentral's name for it is "partial contains 5.8S ribosomal RNA, internal transcribed spacer 2, and large subunit ribosomal RNA". The stretch from base 1 to 121 matches the Rfam family "5.8S ribosomal RNA", at positions 35 to 154 of the family's 154-position model. The record is from RNAcentral.
GAUGAAGAACGUAGCGAAAUGCGAUAAGUAAUGUGAAUUGCAGAAUUCAGUGAAUCAUCGAAUCUUUGAACGCACCUUGCGCCCUUUGGCUAUUCCGAAGGGCAUGCCUGUUUGAGUAUCAUGAACACCUCAACUCUCAUGGUUUGCCAUGAUGAGCUUGGACUUUGGGGGUCUUGCCGGCCUAUGGGUCGGCUCCUCUCAAAUUAAUCAGCUUACCAGUGUUUGGUGGCAUCACAGGUGUGAUAACUAUCUACGCUUGUGGUUUUCCAUCAGGUAACCUUCAGUGAUGGAGGUUCGCUGGGGCUCAUAAAUGUCUCUCCUCAGUGAGGACAGCUUUUUUGAACGUUUGAUCUCAAAUCAGGUAGGACUACCCGCUGAACUUAAGCAUAUCAAUAAGCGGAGGA